This 508-nucleotide ribosomal RNA is filed under the name uncultured bacterium. RNAcentral describes it as "partial 16S ribosomal RNA". It matches the Rfam family "Bacterial small subunit ribosomal RNA", at positions 28 to 507 of the family's 1533-position model. The record is from RNAcentral.
GACGAACGCUGGCGGCGUGCCUAAUACAUGCAAGUCGAACGCUUCUUUCCUCCCGAGUGCUUGCACUCAAUUGGAAAGAGGAGUGGCGGACGGGUGAGUAACACGUGGGUAACCUACCCAUCAGAGGGGGAUAACACUUGGAAACAGGUGCUAAUACCGCAUAACAGUUUAUGCCGCAUGGCAUAAGAGUGAAAGGCGCUUUCGGGUGGCGUUGAUGGAUGGACCCGCGGUGCAUUAGCUAGUUGGUGAGGUAACGGCUCACCAAGGCAACGAUGCAUAGCCGACCUGAGAGGGGGAUCGGCCACACUGGGACUGAGACACGGCCCAGACUCCUACGGGAGGCAGCAGUAGGGAAUCUUCGGCAAUGGACGAAAGUCUGACCGAGCAACGCCGCGUGAGUGAAGAAGGUUUUCGGAUCGUAAAACUCUGUUGUUAGAGAAGAACAAGGACGUUAGUAACUGAACGUCCCCUGACGGUAUCUAACCAGAAAGCCACGGCUAACUACGUG